CCCACUGGUGGGAUUCUUUCACACAACACUUAUCCCCCAGCAGGCUGAACCACCUGCAGUAACUCCCGAUAAAGAACACCUGAAGUGCUCAGCAGCUUGCCCUGAUGCAAGGGGAAGGUCGCUGUUCUGACCGACUGCAGUCUCAGCUGUGCUGACACCAAUUCACAAAUAGGGAUGUUUACCCAGAAAACAGCCCUCCAGUAUUUCAGAAUUAACCACUUUACCUCUUCACAUGGCCAGGUGGAAUCUGAUGGCUGGGGAGGUGUUAAGGGGUGCUCCUUUCCUGGAAGCCCUCACCCUGCGAUACGGCAUCCGUGAUCACUGUGACAUCGGAACUUCCAUGGCAACCAGCAGUGAAGUCACUGGGAAAGAAAUUUCAUUGAAAAGGGGAAAAUUUUUCUACUGGAAGAACAAAUGUUGGAACUGUUUAAGAAUCAUAUGAGUGAUGCAAUUAAAUGUAUGUGAGAACAAGCUAAUCCACAUCUUCUGUGGAUUCAAAACAAAAUCUGAAAGGACAAAAAGAAAUAUUGUACUGCGGACAAAGGCCCAAAAUAGCACAAUGAAUCAGUCCCAAGUGUGUUCCAGAGGCUGUGGUGGAUCACCAAGAUCACCCACGUGGCUGGGAAGGGCACAGUACAGCUGAGAUGCAGGACACCGCAAAAAAA
Non-coding RNA from Anas platyrhynchos (mallard), 665 nucleotides. The record is from RefSeq and is a predicted model, not a curated record. Lineage: Eukaryota; Metazoa; Chordata; Aves; Anseriformes; Anatidae.